GACGAACGCUGGCGGCGUGCUUAACACAUGCAAGUCGAACGAUGAAGCUGGAGCUUGCUCCGGUGGAUUAGUGGCGAACGGGUGAGUAACACGUGAGCAAUCUGCCCUUGACUCUGGGAUAACUGCGGGAAACUGUAGCUAAUAACGGAUAUGGGAUCUGAAGGCAUCUUCGGGCUUGGAAAGAAUUUCGGUCAAGGAUGAGCUCGCGGCCUAUCAGCUAGUUGGUGAGGUAAUGGCUCACCAAGGCGCCGGCGGGUAGCCGGCCUGAGAGGGUGACCGGCCACACUGGAACUGAGACACGGUCCAGACUCCUACGGGAGGCAGCAGUGGGGAAUAUUGCACAAUGGGCGAAAGCCUGAUGCAGCAACGCCGCGUGAGGGAUGAAGGCCUUCGGGUUGUAAACCUCUUUUAGCAGGGAAGAAGCGAAAGUGACGGUACCUGCAGAAAAAGCACCGGCUAACUACGUGCCAGCCGCCGCGGUAA
This 483-nucleotide ribosomal RNA is filed under the name uncultured bacterium. RNAcentral's name for it is "partial 16S ribosomal RNA". It matches the Rfam family "Bacterial small subunit ribosomal RNA", at positions 28 to 523 of the family's 1533-position model. The record is from RNAcentral.